RNAcentral lists this long non-coding RNA (221 nucleotides) under Elaeis guineensis (African oil palm). RNAcentral's name for it is "long non-coding RNA (EGUI_LNC028402)". Lineage: Eukaryota; Viridiplantae; Streptophyta; Magnoliopsida; Arecales; Arecaceae. The record is from RNAcentral.
AUGGUUGGGUGUUAGGUGACCCUUUUAUUCAGUUAACUACCAAAUAUUGAAACUAGUUGGCACAGAUUUGUAGAAAAAAAAUCUUUUAUUUAUAACAUAAUUGCACUGGUAGUAUAUCCAUUGAUUUUCAACGUUCCAAGUCCGAGGAACUUCCAUGCCAUCCAAGUUCUCAAUUUUGUAUGCCACUGAUCAUAGAAUUAUCGAGAUUUUGUAAGGGCCCU